GACGAACGCUGGCGGCGUGCCUAAUACAUGCAAGUCGAACGCUUCUUUCCUCCCGAGUGCUUGCACUCAAUUGGAAAGAGGAGUGGCGGACGGGUGAGUAACACGUGGGUAACCUACCCAUCAGAGGGGGAUAACACUUGGAAACAGGUGCUAAUACCGCAUAACAGUUUAUGCCGCAUGGCAUAAGAGUGAAAGGCGCUUUCGGGUGUCGCUGAUGGAUGGACCCGCGGUGCAUUAGCUAGUUGGUGAGGUAACGGCUCACCAAGGCCACGAUGCAUAGCCGACCUGAGAGGGUGAUCGGCCACACCGGGACUGAGACACGGCCCAGACUCCUACGGGAGGCAGCAGUAGGGAAUCUUCGGCAGUGGACGAAAGUCUGACCGAGCAACGCCGCGUGAGUGAAGAAGGUUUUCGGAUCGUAAAACUCUGUUGUUAGAGAAGAACAAGGACGUUAGUAACUGAACGUCCCCUGACGGUAUCUAACCAGAAAGCCACGGCUAACUACGU
RNAcentral lists this ribosomal RNA (507 nucleotides) under uncultured bacterium. RNAcentral's name for it is "partial 16S ribosomal RNA". It matches the Rfam family "Bacterial small subunit ribosomal RNA", at positions 28 to 506 of the family's 1533-position model. The record is from RNAcentral.